RNAcentral lists this transfer-messenger RNA (360 nucleotides) under bacterium. RNAcentral describes it as "B3-LCP sp005223185 Standard tmRNA". It matches the Rfam family "transfer-messenger RNA". Rfam says of the family: Bacterial tmRNA, also known as 10Sa RNA or SsrA, is named for its dual tRNA and mRNA-like properties. Its role is to liberate the mRNA from a stalled ribosome. The record is from RNAcentral. RNAcentral also lists the same sequence under 1 other name.
GGGGACGACUUGGUUUCGACGGGAUAGGAGGAAGCUGGAUCAGCAGGUCGGGGAUGGCGUGACCCCGUAUAAACCCGCCACAAUCACAAAUGCCGAUAAUCACGGCUAUGCCUUAGCUGCUUAAUAAAGAAGCGGCUACGUCCGACCCGAUUCUUGCCCAUCGAGUUGGGAUGCGGGCGUCAUAAUGAUGGGCUGGCGUCAAGCAGCGCCUCAAUGCCUGACGUGAGAAUUCCGAGGCUGGCUUCCCAUCUGAUCUGUCGCUGGAUUUGAUGGUUAGCGAGAACUAAACAGCGACUAAGCCUGUAGCGGGUCCUUCGGUCACUAUUUCGGACGCGGGUUCGAUUCCCGCCGUCUCCACAA